RNAcentral lists this long non-coding RNA (1164 nucleotides) under Cyanistes caeruleus (blue tit). Its description in RNAcentral is "lncRNA (ENSCCEG00000006531.1)". The record is from RNAcentral. Lineage: Eukaryota; Metazoa; Chordata; Aves; Passeriformes; Paridae.
GACAAAGCCGAGGGACACAGCCCGCAAAAUGUCACCUGUCCCGCGCCAGCUACCUGUGGAGCAGCAUCGCCGUGCCAGGCCUGGGCACCGCGGCACCGAGGGGAUGAGAAAUCCGUCUCCUGCUAUUCCUGGUCCCUCUGUCCUUGGCAGAGCUGGCAGUGCCCGCGGGAGGUGCCGGCAGAGCGCAGCGGAAGGCGGAGGAGAGGGGACAGAUCCCGGGGGUGCCCCCGUGCCUUGCGGCAAUCCGGCUGCUUCCUUCCACGCCGGGCCGGCCGGAGGAGCCGAAAUGCCACUGUCGCCUUCUGCUGGAGCCCCUGCCCGCCUGCCGGGCCCUGAUUCAUCCCCAGCACGGGAGGAUGCGGCUGCCGAAGCCGCGGGGCUGGCCAGGCUGGGCUACACUCGGAAGCUCGGCUCCCACCUGCGCUUCAGCCUCUCCCCAUGGCAGCCAGGAGGGCACGCACUGGGAUGAGCUUCUCCUCCGGGACCUGCUCCCUGUCGGAGCCAGGGACAUUUCUGCCUUAGGGACUGCGUCAGGACACAGAGAGCUCGGCUGGGUUUGGCAGCCCCCUGAGCCAGGAGGACAUCACCGAGCCAGAUCUUUCUGGGAGCUGCCUCUGACUGGAUCCCCUCCUCCCGGUGCCAGGCUGGGUUUUGCCGUGUGCUGCCCAUGGAAGCAGGACCGGAUCCCUGUGCCCCGACUCUUCCCCACGAGGAAUCCCCACGAGGAGCUCUCCACACCCCACAACACGAGUUUCUGGAAGUCUCCGCUGCGAGCACGAGUCGCAAAAGAACCUCUUAUUUUUGCGGCAGAGCUGAUUAAUUUGCUGAUGACCUGCCUUGCACCCCUGCCACGAUUCCCAACCCUCUCCCAGCUGCAGCAUGGGGCUGUUUUUCGCCAAGCAGCCCCAAAGCCGGCGGCAGCAGGCUCCGGGAUGGCUCAGUUCCCCAGAACCGCUGCAGGUGGCACUCCGGCCCCGCCGGCUGCCAGCGCUGCUGGCACCGAGUCAGGGCAUGAGCUCCAACUUUACAGCAGAUUUUCCCUUCUGACAGAUUACUGCUUCAUUUGUAACAGAAGAACUUCUCAUUAAGUACAUUUUUGACAUUUUGUUGAAGGGGGGGAGGAAAAAAAAUAAAAUCCUCGUGUAGCCGAGCGUGCCGGAGCGU